RNAcentral lists this ribosomal RNA (301 nucleotides) under uncultured bacterium. RNAcentral describes it as "partial 16S ribosomal RNA". It matches the Rfam family "Bacterial small subunit ribosomal RNA", at positions 509 to 808 of the family's 1533-position model. The record is from RNAcentral.
CAGUCGCCGCGGGAAUACGGAGGGUGCAAGCGUUAAUCGGAAUUACUGGGCGUAAAGCGCACGCAGGCGGUCUGACAAGUCAGAUGUGAAAUCCCCGGGCUUAACCUGGGAACUGCAUUUGAAACUGUCAGGCUGGAGUCUUGUAGAGGGGGGUGGAAUUCCAGGUGUAGCGGUGAAAUGCGUAGAGAUCUGGAGGAAUACCGGUGGCGAAGGCGGCCCCCUGGACAAAGACUGACGCUCAGGUGCGAAAGCGUGGGGAGCAAACAGGAUUAGAUACCCUGUAGUCCCUGUCUCUUAUACC